This 207-nucleotide ribosomal RNA is filed under the name uncultured bacterium. Its description in RNAcentral is "partial 16S ribosomal RNA". It matches the Rfam family "Bacterial small subunit ribosomal RNA", at positions 568 to 774 of the family's 1533-position model. The record is from RNAcentral.
CGUGUAGGCGGACUCGCAAGUCGGUUGUGAAAUCCCUGGGCUCAACCUAGGAACUGCAUCCGAAACUGCUUGUCUUGAGUAAUGGAGAGGGCGGCGGAAUUCCCGGUGUAGAGGUGAAAUUCGUAGAUAUCGGGAGGAACAUCAGUGGCGAAGGCGGCCACCUGGACAUUUACUGACGCUGAGACGCGAAAGCGUGGGGAGCAAACA